This 498-nucleotide ribosomal RNA is filed under the name uncultured bacterium. RNAcentral describes it as "partial 16S ribosomal RNA". It matches the Rfam family "Bacterial small subunit ribosomal RNA", at positions 28 to 507 of the family's 1533-position model. The record is from RNAcentral.
GACGAACGCUGGCGGCGUGCCUAAUACAUGCAAGUCGAACGAGAGCGACCGGUGCUUGCACUGGUCAAUCUAGUGGCGAACGGGUGAGUAACACGUGGGUAACCUGCCCAUCAGAGGGGGAUAACAUCCGGAAACGGAUGCUAAAACCGCAUAGGUCUUCGAGCCGCAUGGCUUGAAGAGGAAAAGAGGCGCAAGCUUCUGCUGAUGGAUGGACCCGCGGUGCAUUAGCUAGUUGGUGAGGUAACGGCUCACCAAGGCCGUGAUGCAUAGCCGACCUGAGAGGGUGAUCGGCCACAUUGGGACUGAGACACGGCCCAAACUCCUACGGGAGGCAGCAGUAGGGAAUCUUCCGCAAUGGACGCAAGUCUGACGGAGCAACGCCGCGUGAGUGAAGAAGGUUUUCGGAUCGUAAAACUCUGUUGUUAGAGAAGAACAAGUGCUAGAGUAACUGUUAGCGCCUCGACGGUAUCUAACCAGAAAGCCACGGCUAACUACGUG